Molecule: ribosomal RNA, 437 nt
Filed under: uncultured bacterium
Lineage: Bacteria
Description: partial 16S ribosomal RNA
Rfam family: Bacterial small subunit ribosomal RNA
Source: RNAcentral
GAUGAACGCUGGCGGCAUGCCUAAUACAUGCAAGUCGGACGGGAAGUGGUGUUUCCUGUGGCGGUCGGGUGAGUAACGCGUAAGAACCUUCCCUUGGGAGGGGAACCAUAGCUGGAAACGGCUGCUACUACCCCGUAGACCGAGUAGCAAAUAGAGGAAUCCGCCCGAGGGUGGGCUCGCGUCUGAUUGUCUAGUUGUUGAUGCAAUAGCUGACCAAAGCGCUGAUCAUUAUCUGUUCCGAGAGGGUGAUCGGCCACGCUGAGACGGAGACACGAUCCAGAGAACAACGGGAGACGGCAGUAGGCAAGAAGCCGCAAUGGGGGAAAGGUUGUGAGGGCAAUCGCGCGGGGAAGUAGUAGGACUAGGGGAGAAGAAAUGCGUAUGCAGGAAAAGAAGCAAUGACGGUAUCUAAGGAGAAAGCAACGGCUAACUCUGUG